GACGAACGCUGGCGGCGCGCUUAACACAUGCAAGUCGAGCGAUGAAACUUUAACAGAACCCUUCGGGGCGAAGAUAAAGUGGAUUAGCGGCGGACGGGUGAGUAACACGUGAGUAACCUGCCUUAGACAUUGGGAUAGCCUCGGGAAACCGGGAUUAAUACCAAAUAAAAUCAUAAUGACACAUGUCAUAACGAUCAAAACUCCGGUGGUCUAAGAUGGACUCGCGUCCCAUUGGCUAGUUGGUAGAGUAAAAGCCUACCAAGGCGAGGAUGGGUAGCCGGCCUGAGAGGGUGAACGGCCACAUUGGAACUGAGAAACGGUCCAAACUCCUACGGGAGGCAGCAGUGGGGAAUAUUGCACAAUGGAGGGAACUCUGAUGCAGCGACGCCGCGUGAACGAAGAAGGCUUUCGAGUCGUAAAGUUCUUUUAUAUGGGAAGAUAAUGACGGUACCAUAAGAAAAAGCCCCGGCUAACUACGUG
This 480-nucleotide ribosomal RNA is filed under the name uncultured bacterium. RNAcentral's name for it is "partial 16S ribosomal RNA". It matches the Rfam family "Bacterial small subunit ribosomal RNA", at positions 28 to 507 of the family's 1533-position model. The record is from RNAcentral.